RNAcentral lists this ribosomal RNA (253 nucleotides) under uncultured bacterium. Its description in RNAcentral is "partial 16S ribosomal RNA". It matches the Rfam family "Bacterial small subunit ribosomal RNA", at positions 524 to 776 of the family's 1533-position model. The record is from RNAcentral.
GACAGAGGGGGCAAGCGUUGCUCGGAAUUACUAGGCGUAAAGGGCGCGUAGGCGGGCUGGCAAGUCGGUCGUGAAAUCCUUCGGCUCAACCGAAGAACGUCGAUCGAUACUGCUGUUCUUGAGGGUUGCAGAGGAGACUGGAAUUCCCGGUGUAGCGGUGAAAUGUGUAGAGAUCGGGAGGAACACCGGUGGCGAAGGCGGGUCUCUGGGCAAUUCCUGACGCUGAGGCGCGAAAGCGUGGGGAGCAAACGGG